Pelobates cultripes (western spadefoot toad) is the source of this 309-nucleotide non-coding RNA. NCBI's taxonomy places the organism in Eukaryota, Metazoa, Chordata, Amphibia, Anura, Pelobatidae. The record is from the annotation of a GenBank genome assembly.
GCAGUAUGGUACAGAAGAGAAAACUGGAGUUAUUGCAGUUGUAAACAGUAAUCAUGAACACCAUUUGUAGGUUUUCUCCUGAUUGUUCUGUCUUAAUUUUUUAAAGUAAAUAAACUAAUCAUACAUGUAAUUUUGACUAACCAUAGUAGUUUGUUUUUGAACUCGCUUUGUGAUGGAUCCGAGCUGGUUACUAGUUGUUGCUCUUUAAUGUAUCUCUUGUACAUUAAAUGCAAGAUCACUGAAUCAUUUAUAGUACAAAUCAUGCAACACACUAAGGAUGUUGCUGUGAAGCUUUGACUUUGCAGAUCG